This 439-nucleotide ribosomal RNA is filed under the name uncultured bacterium. Its description in RNAcentral is "partial 16S ribosomal RNA". It matches the Rfam family "Bacterial small subunit ribosomal RNA", at positions 339 to 795 of the family's 1533-position model. The record is from RNAcentral.
CUACGGGGCGCUCCAGUGAGGAAUAUUGCACAAUGGGGGGAACCCUGAUGCAGCAACGCCGCGUGGAGGAUGACGCAUUUCGGUGUGUAAACUCCUUUUAUAUGUCAAGAAAAUGACGGUAGCAUAUGAAUAAGCACCGGCUAACUCCGUGCCAGCAGCCGCGGUAAUACGGAGGGUGCAAGCGUUACUCGGAAUCACUGGGCGUAAAGGACGCGUAGGCGGGUUGGAAAGUCAGGUGUGAAAUCCUACAGCUUAACUGUAGAACUGCACUUGAAACUUCUAAUCUAGAGUAUGGGAGGGGGAGAUGGAAUUAGUGGUGUAGGGGUAAAAUCCGUAGAUAUCACUAGGAAUACCUAAAGCGAAGGCGACCUCCUGGAACAUUACUGACGCUAAGGCGUGAAAGCGUGAGGAGCAAACAGGAUUAGAUACCCCAGUAGUC